The sequence is a non-coding RNA, 216 nucleotides long. It matches the Rfam family "T-box leader". From Rfam's summary of the family: Uncharged tRNA acts as the effector for transcription antitermination of genes in the T-box leader family. T-boxes are found upstream of many aminoacyl-tRNA synthetase genes and some amino acid biosynthetic genes usually in Gram-positive bacteria.
CGAUCGACUAAGAAGGGAAGAGUAUCUGAUUCCUACUUAACGAAGCGAGCUAGGGGCGGUGGGAGCCUAGUGUUAAGCAAUCAGAGAAGAUCGCCCCUGAGUCCCGUGCUGAACGAUAAGUAAGCCCCGGCGGAUCAUUCACGUUACGAAUGCAAAGUGAGCGCAACAUGCGCUUAAGUUGGGUGGUACCACGGGAAAAACCUUCUCGUCCCUUUU